This 913-nucleotide ribosomal RNA is filed under the name Karoowia scitula. RNAcentral describes it as "eukaryotic LSU rRNA". It matches the Rfam family "Eukaryotic large subunit ribosomal RNA", at positions 71 to 937 of the family's 3401-position model. Lineage: Eukaryota; Fungi; Ascomycota; Lecanoromycetes; Lecanorales; Parmeliaceae. The record is from RNAcentral.
GGGAUUGCCUCAGUAACGGCGAGUGAAGCGGCAACAGCUCAAAUUUGAAAUCUGGCCCCUUCGGGGUCCGAAUUGUAAUUUGUAGAGAGUGCUUCGGGCGAGGCCUCGGUCUAAGUCCAUUGGAACAUGGUGUCAUAGAGGGUGAGAAUCCCGUAUGCGACCGUGGCUCGAGCCCAUGUGAAGCCUCUUCGACGAGUCGAGUUGUUUGGGAAUGCAGCUCAAAAUGGGUGGUAAAUUUCAUCUAAAGCUAAAUACUGGCUGGAGACCGAUAGCGCACAAGUAGAGUGAUCGAAAGAUGAAAAGCACUUUGGAAAGAGAGUCAAACAGUACGUGAAAUUGUUGAAAGGGAAGCGCUUGCAACCAGACCUGCCCGUAGGCGAUCAGCCGCUGUUCUCAGCGGUGUACUCGCUCUGCGAUCAGGCCAGCAUCGGUUUCGGCGGUCGGAUAAAGGCCUUGGGAAUGUAGCUUCCCUCCGGGGGAGUCUUAUAGCCCUCGGUGCAAUGCGACCAGCCGGGACCGAGGACCGCGCUUCGGCUAGGAUGCUGGCGUAAUGGUUGUAAGCGACCCGUCUUGAAACACGGACCAAGGAGUCUAACAUCUAUGCGAGUGUUUGGGUGUCAAACCCAUGCGCGGAAUGAAAGUGAACGGAGGUGAGAACCCUUAAGGGCGCAUCAUCGACCGAUCCAGAUGUCUUCGGAUGGAUUUGAGUAUGAGCAUAGCUGUUGGGACCCGAAAGGUGUGUUAAAUCCCUCCGAAUGGUGUAAAUUAUAAGGAAUCAUAUGCUAACUUUUUUAAUAGAUGGUGAACUAUGCCUGAAUAGGGUGAAGCCAGAGGAAACUCUGGUGGAGGCUCGCAGCGGUUCUGACGUGCAAAUCGAUCGUCAAAUUUGGGUAUAGGGGCGAAAGACUAAUCG